AUUGAACGCUGGCGGCAGGCUUAACACAUGCAAGUCGAGCGGUAACAGAGAGUAGCUUGCUACUUUGCUGACGAGCGGCGGACGGGUGAGUAAUGCUUGGGAAUAUGCCUUUACGUGGGGGACAACAGUUGGAAACGACUGCUAAUACCGCAUAAUGUCUUCGGACCAAAGGAGGGGAUCUUCGGACCUUUCGCGUAUUGAUUAGCCCAAGUGGGAUUAGCUAGUUGGUGAGGUAAUGGCUCACCAAGGCGACGAUCCCUAGCUGGUUUGAGAGGAUGAUCAGCCACACUGGGGACUGAGACACGGCCCAGACUCCUACGGGAGGCAGCAGUGGGGAAUAUUGCACAAUGGGCGAAAGCCUGAUGCAGCCAUGCCGCGUGUGUGAAGAAGGCCUUCGGGUUGUAAAGCACUUUCAGUUGUGAGGAAGAGGUAAAGGUUAAUACUC
RNAcentral lists this ribosomal RNA (445 nucleotides) under uncultured bacterium. RNAcentral's name for it is "bacterial SSU rRNA". It matches the Rfam family "Bacterial small subunit ribosomal RNA", at positions 30 to 469 of the family's 1533-position model. The record is from RNAcentral.